CUCUUCACCGUCUCGGCAAAGGAAACGGCCACAUUCUUCAGGCUCACCAGACCCAGCACCACACUGGUGAACCUACAGAAUGGAACAGCAGAGAUAGGAUGUACUUGUUGAGGAAAAGUGUGCAGAAGCUGAAGAAAUACCACAGGCCCAGGUAGACCAGCGACUUGGAGUUCCACACCCCUGAAUCUGCCUCGAUUAUCGUGGUCUCUGUGAUGGUGAUCUUCAGCACGUGUUCCCCCGGCAUGCUCUCGCUGCGUGCCAGCACCACACGCUCCUGCCUGCUUCGAAACGGCGAAAGGAACCGCCACAGGGAAUGUCUCCCAGCCCAACCGUUGGACGCCAUGAAGCACAGCGCCCGAGGAUCCACUGACCAGGAUCCAGCAGGCACAAAUACAGAGAUGAGGGGGAGGGGACUGGUGGAGAGGACCGGUCAGUCCAUCGUCAGUCUGUGUGUCUAUCCAACGGUGUGUUCAGCAUGACUGUAGAACUGGUGGUCUCUGCAACACAGCUAAAACACAAGGAAUGAAUAUAGUUGACAGUCUUCUAGCAUUAUGCCAUUUUUAAAUAAUCCUAAAACAGAUCAAAGUUACUUAACCCAUAUGCAGUCUUUACUGAUUUUCUAAACGAUACACUAGACAUUGAAGGCAAUACUGCCGGGCACAAACUUCUAACAGCGCAAACCAAGAGUCAGAUCCACAAGACAUGGCUAUUAAAAGCCAUGAGUGGUGAGUAGGGUUGCAAAGGGUCGGACAUUUUAAGGGAAUAAUUUGAGGAAUUUUACUUAAAUUCAUUAAAAAAAGUUAGCUUAUAACAGUGAACCUUUUUUGUGGGAUACACAUAAGGCAAUUCUAGGUCUUGUGGCAUAUUUUGGUUAAACUAUCCCCAAUUCAAUGGAAUUGCAACCCUAUGCAUGUGCAGUGCACUCAAGAGCUUGCACACUAAUGAGAUGCUAUUGAGCCCACACUACUACACUGUCUGAGCCAAGGACUACAUGCUUUCUGGUUAGUUUUGCAAUACUGGCUGGGGUGAAUAUAUUUCAUAGGACAUACAUGAAUUUUUGUUAACUAGUAAAUUGUAGCCUACAGAAAAGUGUGUUUAAAUAAUUUAUCAUUUGUUAACAAUUUCUGCUAGUUAGUUUUUGCUACCAUGUGGGUUUUUAGCUUGCUUGAGCCUGCUAACUGAGGAGUGUUAAUUCACCUGUUUCCAUACAUGUUUCAUUGUAAAACAUGUAUCUUACAAAGGAGUUGUUUAAUCUAACUUUCCCAAUCUUCAUAGGAAAACGCCACGGGUCUCUAUCUGAUGUAUGGAGACAUUUCACUGCAGCUAAUGUAGAAGGAAAAGCUGUGUAUAUUUGCAGAUACUGGGCCAAAUCAUAUGUGAAGAAUGCAACAAAGAUGUGGAAUCAUCAGGCCAAGUGCAUAAAGUUCCCUCAGCGCUCACAACAAGCAACCUCUGAUAAGUCAGUCUACAUCUAUUUGAGGUGAAAAUUAUGAAUCAGACACCUUAUCGAUAGUAACAGCUCAUGGUCCUCCUGGAAGUUUUUUUUACUCAAUGGAGGAACUGCACAUGGGGACAAAGAUUGUACUUUUUGGAGUAAUGUCCCCUUGUCUGAUAAUACAAAAAUAGAACUGUUUGGCCAUAAUGACAAUCGUUAUGUUUGGAGUCAAAAUGGGUAGGCUUGCAAGUCGAAGAACACCAUCCCAACCGUGAAGCACUGGGGUGGCAGCAUCAUGUUGUGGGGGUGAUUUGCUGCAGGAGGGACUGGUGCACUUCACAAAAUAGAUGGCAUCAUGAGAAAGGAAGAGUAUGUGGAUAUAUUAAAGCAACAUCUCAAGACAUCAGUCAGGAAGUUAAAGCUUGGUCGCAAAUGGGUCUUCCAAAUGGACAAUGACCCCAAGCAUACUUCCAAAGUUGUGGAAAAUGGCUUAAGGACAACAAAGUCAAGGUAUUGGAGUGGCCAUCACAAAGCCCUGACCUCAUCCUAUAGAAAAACGAGGCCUACAAACCUGACUCAGUUACACCAGCUCUGUCAGGAGGAAUGGGCCAAAAUCACCCAACAUAUUGUGGGAAGCUUGUGGAAGGCUACCCGAAACAUUUGACCUAAGUUAAACAUUUUAAAGGCAAUGCUACCAAAUACUAAUUGAGUGCAUGUAAACUUCUGACCCACUGGGAAUGUGAUGAAAGAAAUAAAAGCUUAAAUAAAUCACUGUACUAUUAUUCUGACAUUUCACAUUCUUAAAAUAAAGUGGUGAUCCUAACUGACGUAAGAGAGAGAAUUUUUACUAGGAUUAAAUGUCAGGAAUUGUGAAAAACUGAUAAGCAUGCAAUAAGCAUGCAACCAUUAAGAAAAUGACUGUUAAAUCCCUGUGGAUUGAUGAGAAAUUGAAAAAUGGUGUGGUUGAGAGGGAUGAGGCAAAAGGAAUGGCAAAUAAGCCUGGCUGUACAAACGUUUGGCAAACAUAUUGCAAAUUGAGAAAUCAUCUAAAAUAAACUGAAUAAAAAGAAGAAACUACACAAUGAAACCAAGAUAAAUGACAAAGAAUGAUAGUAAAAAGUUUUGGAGCACCUUAAAUGAAAUUCUGGGGAAAAAAGCAAACUCAGCUCCAUCAUUCAUUGAAUCAGAUGGCUCAUUCAUCACAAAACCGGCUGAUAUUUCCAACUACUUUAAUGAUUUUUUCAUUGGCAAGAUUAGCAAACAUAGGCAUGACAUGCCAGCAACAAACGAUGACAUUACAAAUCCAAGUAUAUCUGACCAAAGUAUGAAAGACAAGCAUUGUAAUUUUGAAUUCUGUUUAAGUGAGUGUGGAAGAGGUGAAGAAAUAACUGUUGUCUACAAGCCACCGGGAUCUGAAAAUUAGGAUAAUAUCGAACAAUAUUACCACUCCUAUUUGCCAUAUUUUCAAUUUAAGUCUACAGUGGUCCCUCCUUUAAAAGUUGUGUCAUACCGCGGCACACCCUGCGUUCUGCUGCAGCAGCAUUCUGUGGCACGUCAUUUCAUUCUCAGCCAUUUCUUCUGUUACUGCAAGUUAUUGCUAGUUUGACCACCAGAGGGCAUCUUUGAGAAGCAUUUGAUAGUAUUUUUUAUUGGCAUUACCAGAGAAUGUAAAACCUUUUUUGUAAUAACAUAGUAUGGGAUUGAUUUUAAGAAAUGUGGCUUAAUUCAUUUGAUUCAUAUUAUGGUGUUUCCAUUCAGAGAAAAAAACUAAACCCUGAGGGUUUCCGUUAGGAUAGAAUGGUAAAUAUGGCCCUGUACAACGUGAUUGUCGGGAGUAGGCUACAGGAUUGGAGGAUUCUAAAUUGUUUGUCUUCAUGAGACAACUUUGUUCCAAUAUUUCUGUAAAUCAGUGAUAUUUAUUCCCAUAGUAAUUUGUUAUGGAUCCAUAACUAAAAUCAACAUCUGCAUUUUGAAAGAGUAUUUUUUAUCUUUAUUUUAUUAAUGAAAGUAAUCAAGUCAAUAAACGUUGGGUAGUUAGUUAGCCUGUAGUUAGUAUACUGGUAAGUUUGAUGUAUAACUACUAACGUUAGGUAGCUAGCUAACAUACUGGUACAUACUGCUGUAAUAAUAUGCUAUGUGGUUUGUAAGGACAGCGUAGCUAACAAAUUGACAGCAAACAUAACGUGUAAGGUAACUUAUUUGAAAAGUCAUUACUUUAUUACAUUGAGUAGCAAGCCACCCCUUGGUCGUUAGGGCAAAUCUGGUCUGUGAUAGGGGGGAGGGGGUUUCACACCUAGCUCAGCUAUUAGACUAUUCUUUAGUAAAAGAUUGAAUAGUCUAUUGUUCAAUUAUUUAGCCCCCCACCCCAAUUUGCAACAAAUUGUUGUUCCCAUCUCAUUCCUUUCCCUCUUUUACCCGUCAUCAUUCUGCUCCUGAGUGGCUCGCUUGUGGGCGUGCUGGCAGGAUAUGGCAGCAUCUUCGGUUGUGCGUCAAUAAUUCUACAUACAGUAGCACGUUUGUAUGAAGGUGUGGUUAUUCACAGGCAAAUUGUUAUAUGCUAUGGAGGUACAUUUGUGUAUUUUUGUCAAGAGCAAAAACUUUUAUUUUUUUCCAAUCACAAAUAAUUGUUAUGAAAGCAACUUUUCUCCGACACAAAGGAGAAGCAGCACUGGGCUGUAUUGAUAUAUUCUAAAAUUGACAUCUGCUGCUUUAGAUUGAACAGUCAUAUCUCAGUUAUUGUUUUCAUAUCUAUAAAAAAAUAAGCUGUUUUCUUUACUUUCAGAGAGCGAGAUGAUCAAGAGGUGGAAAAUGUAGAUAUUGCCAGAUGUUCACUGUCUGAGGAACAGGCCGUGGAAGCUUUAUCGCUGGCCAAAGUGUCCAUAACUGCUCUGUGUUCUUUUUCUCAAUCUCUGCCUGUCUUGUUGUACAUGGAACCUGUCUCACAUGCAUUAAUUUAAAAAACCUUAAGAUGUAAAUCUGAAAAUUAGCAGCUGACACCACAUAAACACAGCCAUUUUCACUGGACUAUCUGUUGCUGCCAGGUCAUGAUUUCCCUGGGGGUUAGCCUUUUAAUAACCAAGUGGUGAGACACAUAGCCCUCUAUAUUUAAAUGUUUCAGGUACACUCAGAUAGGUGUCUGUGUCGCAUACAGUAUCUUCUAUUGACAUUAUCUUCUAUUGUUUGUCUUCAUGUCUGUUUUUCAGCAUAAAGUACUCUGUAGCCACUCAGUGUGGACACCAGGUGAGACCACACACACACACACAAUAACAGUCUCUCUUCUUCACUUCAUCCCUCUCCCCCUUCUCCCUAAAUCCUCUAGGUUUUAUCAGCUGUUUUGGUGAACCCCUCCCGCAUCUGAACUGUCUGACACAGACGGCACAGCAUGAUCAUAGGUAUGUUUUGAUGUGCGAGAGAAAGCCAGUCCCAUCAUCGCCACCUCACCUGCUCUUAAAAUAACCUUCGGGCCAACUGGGGGCCCAAGGCUGGUUAGGAGACACCGCAAUUGUGAAGAACUGAGAGAAUAUUAGGGUAGCACUGUAAUUCAUUAAUCAUAUGCUGUCUACCGCUGUUCUUAACUCUUUCCCUUUCUGUCUUCUACACCUCUCUCCCCACCUCGUCUUUCUUCCUCAAUUUAUAUGUGCAUUGAAGUACAGAUUGAACUUGUAUUUAUAAUAUAUUAUACCAAUUAUCAUAAUUAUAAUGCAUUUAUAACACCUGGAUAAUGAACUUAUUUCAAUAAAGCGUUUCACAUUCUCCACUGGUUGAAAUUAAAUAUCUUAUUGAAAUACUA
Oncorhynchus nerka (sockeye salmon) is the source of this 5225-nucleotide long non-coding RNA. RefSeq lists it as uncharacterized. NCBI's taxonomy places the organism in Eukaryota, Metazoa, Chordata, Actinopteri, Salmoniformes, Salmonidae. The record is from RefSeq and is a predicted model, not a curated record. The transcript is spliced from 3 exons.